GACCCUCUUAUGUGCUCGGCGGCCGAGGCAUGAUCAUCGUCGCCGACGAACCGUCGCUGAAAUCGGCGCUGAAAUCGGGCGAGUUGUUCCGCAUCUCCGGCGUCAAUCCGGUGCUGAUCGACGGCUUCCUGCACCACGCGAUCGAGAUCGACGUGGACGCGAUCUGCGAUUGUGAUGGGCAAGUGUUCAUCGCAGGGAUCAUGGAGCACAUCGAAGAGGCCGGCAUCCACUCCGGCGAUUCGGCGUGCGCGCUGCCGCCGCAUUCGAUCAACGCGGCAACGAUCGCGGAGAUCGAACGGCAGACGAUCGCACUCGCGCGUGCCCUCAAUGUGCGUGGAUUGAUGAACGUGCAAUACGCGAUUCAGAGCGGCGAAAUUUUCGUGCUCGAGGUCAAUCCGCGGGCGUCGCGCACCGUGCCGUUCGUGGCGAAGGCGAUCGGCCUGCCGGUUGCGGGGAUCGCGUCGCGCGUGAUGGCCGGCGAGCGGCUCUCUUCGUUCUCGCUCAAGCCGUCGAGGAAGCCGCAUAUCGCGGUGAAGGAAGCGGUGCUGCCGUUCGCGCGGUUCCCCGGCGUCGACACGAUCCUCGGCCCGGAAAUGAAAUCGACCGGAGAAGUCAUGGGGCUCGAUUCCGAUUUCGGCCGGGCGUUUGCGAAAGCCCAGAUCGCCGGCGGCAACAAGCUGCCAAUGGCCGGGACCGUGUUCAUCUCGGUCAAGGAUGCGGACAAGGAGUUCGCCGCCGAUCCUGCGGCCCAUCUCAUUGGCAUGGGUUUCGAGAUCGUGGCGACGCGAGGGACUGCGAAAUAUCUACAAGCGGCCGGGCUUCCGGUCCGCCUGAUCAACAAGGUGCUGGAGGGCCGCCCGCACAUCGUGGACGCGAUGAAGAACGGGGAAAUUUCGCUUGUGUUCAACACCACGGACGGGGCCCAGGCGCUCACCGACUCGGCGUCGAUCCGCAAGACCGCGCUGGCGCUGAAGAUUCCCUAUUGCACGACCAUGGCGGGCGCUGCGGCCGUCACGCAAGCCAUUGAAUCGCUUAAGUCCGGGUCCCUUGAAGUCGCCCCCCUCCAGUCCUAUUCUUGAAGGCUGGUCUAGAGGGCCCGGGAGGGACCCGCCGGAAACGGUGACCAAUUCUCAAGCGUUGGUAUCUAGCGUUCCGGACCGGUCCAGCCAUGGACAUAGCCGGCCGGAGCCAGGAAGUUCUGUCGAAUCAAGGUGGAGAGGAUGGACCGCAUUCCGAUGACCGCCUCGGGCUAUAAGGCCCUUGAGGA
This 1267-nucleotide unclassified non-coding RNA is filed under the name uncultured fungus. Its description in RNAcentral is "sequence contains 18S rRNA gene, ITS1, 5.8S rRNA gene, ITS2, 28S rRNA gene". Lineage: Eukaryota; Fungi. The record is from RNAcentral.